RNAcentral lists this long non-coding RNA (1740 nucleotides) under Gouania willdenowi (blunt-snouted clingfish). Its description in RNAcentral is "lncRNA (ENSGWIG00000017081.1)". Lineage: Eukaryota; Metazoa; Chordata; Actinopteri; Blenniiformes; Gobiesocidae. The record is from RNAcentral.
GAUUUGUUAAUACCCAAACAUUCAUUUCAUACCUUUGCUCACCUGAACAGGAUAUAAAUAUUGGACUGAACCUCACAACAGGCAGGUACAGCUUCCAAGUGGACAGACAAUACUGACAAUACUCAGCCAUUAAACCACGAUGAAGACUAUUCUGUUUCUGACUGUUCUUGUGACUCUAUCCAGCACAGCUGGAGCCAUUCAAUGUGAACGCUGCAUUGACCCAAACGACCCCAACUGCAUGUUUAUCGAAAAUGUUGAUUGUCCCACUCUGAGCAUGUGCAUGACGGCCUAUGCCACAGUAUCAAAUGGAAUCCCAAGAAUCUUCAGGAACUGCACAGUGCCUGAAGUGUGUCCAACCACAGGCACUCACGUAAUUUCUGCCAAUCUGGGUCCCUCAUACUCCUACGCAACAGUCUCUUGUUGCAACACCGAUAACUGCAACAAUGACGUUCUAACUUUUCCAACUCUUCCUGAUUUCAACAAUGAAACCUGCCAAGGAUGCGAUCCCAGCACUUCAAGCUGCGACCAAAUUGUGAAUUGUAGAGGAGAGGAAGACACCUGCAUUGAAGCGCCAGUUGUUAGUUUUGGGGUGCCAUCCACUCUGUCUGGCUGCGGCAGUACUAACAUAUGUGAGGCUACGAUGUUCAUGGACUUUCUGCCGUUUCUGGAAUUUUUGGGCUCAAUAUUCUUGGAUCCCACCUGCCUUUCUGCUAUCCCAACCACUACUACACCUAUGCCAACAACAACUACGCCAAUGACAACCACUACUACGCCUAUGCCAACAACAACUACGCCUAUGCCAACAACUACUACAGCUGCAGCUACAACAACAGAGUCCCCUGAUGAGUCCACUGCCCCUCCCCAUCCUUAUAACCUCACUGACGCACAUGAGGUACUUCAUAAAAUUCUGAAUGCAUCAAAAAGCAGUUUGUACCAUCUGUACCUAGCCUCCAAUAAGCUGAAAGAGCUCGUGAGCCACCAGCAUGCAACACAUCUGACCCAACUACACCAGCAUCUACUCGACUACCAAAAAAGUCUGUUCUCCCAACAAUGUGACCUGCCAUUCUACCACCAGCACCAGCUGCCACUCCUCUACCAGCAAAACAUGAUCCUCAACCACCACCAACUCCUGCUCCACCAACUGCAUCAGCACAUCCCCAAGGAUCAGUGCGUAGACGAGCUUUCCCAGCAACAACUGUUGGUCCAACAACUGCAGCAACAACUGCAACAGUACCAGAUCCUUCUGAUGGCUUACUCCUGCCACCACCCAGAUCACAUUUAUUACCCUCACAUGAUACACCAGAUGCCCUUUUCCAUGCCUUAUCUCUAUCCUACUUACCCUUGAACGCAGUAUACUCCAGACAGGGAAAUGGUUAAUAUAUUGAUUGUACCUCCAUGCCCAGCACUCUUUUAAACAUAUGCUAUUAUUUGUAAUGAUUUGAACACGUGACCUUAAUAAUUAUAGUGAUUAGAAUAAGUCGGUUCCAAUGAGAUUAAUUUUGUCUUCUUUUUGAAUUGUAUGUUGAGUUUUUUUUUUAUUCAGACAUGUUUCGACUGUCAACUGCCAGUUUUCUUCAGAGGAGUUCUGCUAAUCACCUUUGAUGGUUCUUUUGAAGUUUCACUUGACUUCUAUGUAAUGGUUCCAGCGAGAUUGAUUUGUCUUCUGUAUGUUGAGUCUUUUCCCAUAAAUGUAUUUUAUUUAUUAAUCAUGCUUAAUAAAUCAGAAUGAAAAUCAAUCCA